GUGCAAUUAUUAUUAUCAGCAUCUAGAAAGCAUCACACGGAGCAUUGACCUUCAUGCUGCAUUGUUCUUACUGGAUCCUCCUAUCCGUGAACAUUAUGCCAAGUACCAAUACAGCAUCAAGUCAUUUCUGGAUGGAAAGUUUUCAAACUUCUUCAUUUGGAGUUACUUAAACGUGAGGGUGUUGGGAUUUUUGAGGAUGCCUUCCCUAUGUGGAUUAUUACAGUUUGAUGACUGAUUCUCUGCCUCAAAGAAGAUUAUUUUGCUAUCUGGAAACUCAUGCCCACCUCUUUGACUUCGGGUCAAAAUUGCUUUCCUCACAGUCUGACUGGGAAAGUUGUAAAACAUUAGAAUGUCCUUCAGCGGUGGGCUGUGGAAUGUCAUUACUCUCAGGUGACUACGGAAGCAUUAGCACCCUGCAUGCUCAGAUUGCUAGGAAAUUGGAUAGACCUCCAGAGAAAUUCUCUCCCACGCCUUCCCUGGGGACCAGCCUGUGACACAGGAAUUGGCAAGAAUCUAAUUUCACCGGAAGGUUUGCUGAAGCAUUAUCACCAGACAGCCAGAAUGAUUGAUGAGUGCUUUUCAGGAAGGGAAAUGCUUCCAGCUUGGUUUGUGGGAAGGAGUAAAUUGAACCACAUCUAUAAUGCCACCAUCCAGUUUCUGGUAUACAAGUUUGGAAGUUGGAUGAAGAGGCAGAGAACAGGGCCAUUACGUGACCCAGCCUAUGCCCCUUGUGCCAGAGAUGGAAUGAGAAUAAACAGAAUUGAGGUGGCCCCCACUCCUACGGACACAGCUCUUUCACCUAUACGGUUUUCUUCUGUAUUUCCUGAUAUAAGUCUCCCCCUGACCCCACUGGAAUGCAUGGAUUUGCAUUUGUUCUUCCAGGAGUGUCUAACUGGAUGUCCUCUGCAAAUUCAUCAAAUGUGCCAUCUUUUCCAUCAUGUGGUCAUCCCUGGGAUCAUCAUCGAACAUCGUUCUCCACCACUCUGGUCCAUGGAUGGUUGUUCUCUUUUGUCCAUUCCAUCAAAUGUCCUGAACACUGUCAGAAGAGGGAAAAGGCUAAUGGAGCUGUUAAGUCUAAGUAUGACUGCCAAGAUGAAUCCAAAAAAGCCAAAGAGCCUGAGCAUGUCAGACCUUCCUGCAGCCUGCCACACACACUUAAAACCCCAGGGAAAUGAGUGCGGCUCAGGAGGGGGGAAGAGCGCCAACCAGAAAUUUUGA
This 1218-nucleotide long non-coding RNA is filed under the name Canis lupus familiaris (dog). Its description in RNAcentral is "lncRNA (ENSCAFG00040022839.1)". The record is from RNAcentral. Lineage: Eukaryota; Metazoa; Chordata; Mammalia; Carnivora; Canidae.